This 7934-nucleotide long non-coding RNA is filed under the name Triticum aestivum (bread wheat). RNAcentral describes it as "long non-coding RNA (TAES_LNC011802)". Lineage: Eukaryota; Viridiplantae; Streptophyta; Magnoliopsida; Poales; Poaceae. The record is from RNAcentral.
GAAUAUUCAUCAAAUACAUGUGUAUAUAAUUACAUCAGUGAUGAAUAUAAUCUUCUGGCAUAGCGCUAAGGCUAUUUACAUGGCAGCGGAAGUCUAAUUAAAUGGCGGCGGAAGUCUUGGCAGCAUAUAACUCUGGUUGGGCUCCACAACUCACAGGACUGGCAAGAUUACGGCCUAGCACGACGGAACAAGUGAACGACCUACAAAACUGGCAUGACACGCCAAGUCAGUACAUUGAAUGUACUUGCAAGACAACCAAAUACAUAGCAUCCAAACAAGCAGAAGACAAAGCAGGAACCAAGAGAAUGCAACAAUCUAGCUCAUUUCAGAAACUAAGCAUCACAUAAUAUCAACCCAAGACAUAAAUCAAACUAACAUCAUGGCAUCCACUAGCAUGACAACAACAUGAUAUAUCAAAUUCACUUCUAACAUGGCAAUAGCAAAACAUAGCAUAUCAUCUCAAUCAUAUCAAAUGCAGACAUAGCAUGUUAACUGUAUGCAACCAUCUCAUGUUCUACCAUGGUUCUUUAAAUGCAAACAUAUUACUCAUGCAAUGCCACCAAACUUUGUGCACUGAGUCCCUCGGACUCUCUUACCAACGGUGAUCACCUCAUUUCCUGAUCACCAACAGAGACAAACUUGUGAUCCUUACGGUGAUCACAACCCGACCACAUCUGGCCCGUGAUCCUUACGGCGAUCACCACCUGACCACAUCUAGCCCGUGAUCCUUAUGACGAUCACAACCCGACCACAUCUGGCCCAUGAUCCUUAACCACAUUAACCAGCUUAAUUAUUUUAGGUUUAUCCUCCAUUUCGACCAAGACCCGAUAGUGUACCCUACUACGAACUUAUGCCCAUGACCGAGGACGCGGCUAUCGAUAGUUUAAAUACACUCUGCAGAGGUAGCGCACUAUACCCACACCACGGAACCCAUGGCCUCGCACUCCCAUUCGGGUGGACCAACGGCAUUCCAACGAAACCGAUCUACUGUCAUGACACUCUCCCGGCCACUCCGACUCACUCCUCACUGGGCUAGUCCUGGGUGGCCCCGUGUCUACCUCCAGACACCUCGACCACCAUCGUGGCCACGAUCCACACUAGGACAUGGUACCAAAACUCAACUUAACAACGGGCUCACAAGGCUUAUGUCCGCCUACCUGAUCAGGGUAGCGCGCGCCCAUAACCUUCCCUAGUUGGAGGCACCGACCAGAGGCACGACAAUAGACCGCAUUAAGGCCGUUCCAUACCGGCAAAUGUGGUUGCACUUGGAAAAAGUUUGAUUUGGCGACACUAUGACUCGAUCCAAUCGAUGACAGAGGGGGUUUGUUAUAAUUAAGUCAUUUUAAUUCCUUCUCCAUCAUCAUGAACAUGAAUGCAACAAUGAGCAUACAUCAUUCCAAUGCUUUAACAAAACAUCGAGCUUCUCAAGUGAACACUUACAACAUCAAGAACAUGACAAUACCAAGUACUAACAUAUCCACGGUGCAUUACCAUCAUCAGAGCAUUUUAUAACGAUGACAUGAAAAUAAAUUAGAGUAGUGACAUGGCAUAAUCAGUAACAACAUUCUAAUUAUCAUGGCAAGAAGUAGCAUGAAAACACAGGCAUGCAAGGUAAGCAUAGCGGAAUAACUGUAGAUAAAACCGAUAAGAAGUAACUACAAAUACACACACACAAGGUGCAAGCAAAGUCAACAUGCAAGUUCAUGGCUCAUGAUAAGAGGUUGGCUUGCCUGGGGGUCGACAAAUAGUCCGGGAAGAAGUGUGAAACGAUCGCGGAAAAAUUGCCGGAAACAGUUCUCUCUCGGAGAGGGCUGUUUACGGACAAGGGCGAAAUAGUCAUUUUCAUAGUGUCAAACCAUAGUGAAAAUGAUCUCAUCAGAACGGGCUCGAUGAUACGAAGACGUGGGCGUUGGAUUUACCUCAAUCUGAGUUACGGUUAAAAAGAUACGGAUGUUUAAAACUCAAGGACUAAUCUGUAAAAAUGCUUCUACAAACAGGUCCUUGGCAGUUUCGAACGGAUGCGUCUUUUCUGAAAUACAUCUUCGGUCAGGGAAAACGGCUCGUGGCGGGGGCGCUUCCACUUAUCCACGUGGCGCUGACCGGGUCAAAGGGCAGAGGCUGGGCCGGCGUCUGGGUCGCUGCCAGGUGGGGUCGCGGGGCCCGCCUAGCCAGGUCAAUGCCCACCUGGCCGGCUCCUUCUUCUCCUCGCUCGGGUGCACGACUGGCCGAGGCAGAGGCGGGCUUCAGGCGAGGGGGCCGGCCUGCUCCGGUCGUCUCCGGUAGUGGUGCGGCCACCGUUGAGCUCGGCAUGGACCGCCACAUCCAUUCAGAGGAAGGGCGGCUGCCGGGGAGGCGCGGGGAAGAGAUGGCCACCGGAAAGGAGAGCGGUCGCGGUGGCACUGGAGGAUGGGGGCGAUGGCUUUAGGUACUCCGGCGACGAGGAAAGGGGCUGGUGCGGAUCACUGGAGCAUGGGGAAGACGUGGGUGCGGUCAGGGAGAGGAGGGGUGGCUCGGGUCGCUUCAAUUUAGGAGGACCGAUGCGGCGGCCAUGGUGGCAAUGGCUUCGGCCAUGGAGCGGACAGGGAGCUCCGAGGCGAGGGGGGAGCUGCGAGAGGCUUGGGGACCGCGAGGGGGCUCGGGAGCUGCUUAAAUAGCCGCAUAGGGGCUCGAGGGAGGAGGGGAGGAAGUGGCACGCGGCGGGCGACGUGUCCGCGCGUCGGCGAUGGCGCAGUCGUCGGUAGUCACGGCCAGGGCUCACAGGAGGCAGUGGGAAGGCGACGAGGGGGAAGCGGACGAGCGCCAGAGGCUCACGGAGAUGAGGGGCACUCACGGAUGAGAGGGAGAAGAAACCAAAAGAGAGGAAGAAGACGAUGGCCACAGGCGCAUUGCUCGAGCUUUGGCACGGCUCGUCGGAGAAGCAAACGGAGGGGGAGCGGGGUCCAGGCGAACGGUGACGAUGAUGCGGAGCUGUAGGACAUUAAUGGCGAGGUCAGGGACGGUCGGAGCAGCGCUACCGACGAGAACAAUGGCUAGACCACCAUUUUGGCUGGCUGCACUCGUGGUCACCACUGGCAUGGCGCGCUCUAGAGAUUUUACUGAGGUUAAACCAUGUCUAACGGGUAGUCCUUCGAAGAUGGAGUGUUACUGAGGUAAAUAGACAGGCAGAGACAAAGGGAGUGGAGUAAACCAAGCUCCACAAGUUUGUUGUUGCAAACUUGGCAACUUGCUGGAGAUAAAACCAGAGAGGGUAAAACGUAGAAUUGUUGUCUGGGAAGCUUAGGAUAGCAAGGACUACGGUCCUGGGAGUUUUGAGGUCAUUGGGACAAUUAUUUAGCAUAGUUGCUUAACAACGGCUAAAAUAUGUCCAGAAAACAAAAGAGGAAGAAGCACUCACUAGGAAGGUUGGAUUGAGUUAUAACUUGGCAAAUCCUCAUGAUUUGGUCAUAGGUAGAUGCCGUAAAAAGAUCACAUCAAAUGGACUCACCAAAUUGGUACUUGCUUCAUAAGCAUCACUUUUGACCAGAAACUUGGGAAAAUCCUAGGAAAAUAUUGGCUAAAUAAAAUUAGCCAAACUCUUCGGUAGGUGGGUUAUAUGGAUAGGAGAAGGCCUGGAAUUAUUUUCAGCCAUAAUGGAGCAAGAUAAAAUAUACUUGCUUCACAAACUGAAAAUUUGGACAGAGAACAAGAAUUGCUUCUGUGCUCACAUAGCUCAAUGAAAUGAGCUGAAUCUGGGUGAAGGCUAAUGAUUUGGUAUACUUGAGAGGAUGGAAAAGUUUCAUCCCAUUUGGAAACUCUAUGAAGGUACAUCCUUCACAAAGUGACAAUCUGGUCAGGAACUUUGAAAAACUGCACAAGGAGCUAGGAUGAUUGUAUUGAGCUCAUCUUUGGUAUCCAUGGGUUAUUUAUCAAUAUUAAUCACCCUGCCAAAUUGCAGCUCAAAUGGAUUAGGAAUAAAGCACUACCUUUGCAAAAUUUCAGAGAAGGCAGAAACUUGCAUUGGAUCAUGUGCCCAAUUUUGGAUCUGUGGAACAUGAGACGAUGAUGGAACUAGUGAUUAUAUACAAGGACAAGCUCCACAAUUUAUGUGAGAAUUUUCCCUGCUAUAGAAAUAGUAGUUCCUUUAGAAAAUGGCAUAAAUGCAAUAUUGGUAUUAAAUAGGAAAAGACAAUUUUCCUUAUUUAAUUAUGGCCAAUAUAAUUGCCAGAGCCUGGAUUAGGCAUAAUUAUCAACUCCACCAAUUCACAUGGAUUUAGGAGAUGGCUAGAUAUGCCUUUUGAUUUUAUUCCUCAGAAAGGCAAGAAAAUGAAUAAAUCGUAAUUCAAAAAUAUUGCAUGGCACUUGGCAAUAUUUUUGCAUAUCCAAGGUUGAAAAGGAUAGGAGGGUCUCUAGGAACAGAUGGGAUGAUCAACAGAUCAAGGAAAAUGAUGGCUCCUUUGUAAUCACAAAGGCCAUAUUCAAAUCCCAAAAAUUUGGUAUUGGGGUUUGAGAUGAUGCAACUGAGGUCUUGCCCACUGAAAAAGACAGGAGCAAGUUUUGAAAGGUUGGAAAUGACAGGAAAUCUCAGAGUCAUCCAACAAACUCAGGAGAAAGAUUUGAGAAAUGAGUGCCAGGAAGGAAUAAUAGCACAAAAAUUGAUAACCCAAUUUUGGGGCUGUUACAAACCUUCCCCCCUUAAAAGAAUCUCGUCCUCGAGAUUCCUAGGGUUAUAGCACAAAGAAAAGAUAACUACUCUGGGGAAAAAUCCUCUGGGUUAAUUUUAACCCUUUGGUCAAAUUCGAACGAAUUGGGGCACCGAUAACUGGUACACCCACGAAGAGAUAUGUGAGAACACGGUUAUAUCCACGGCUAGGAGCACUCGAGAUCAAACUCUCGAAAAAUUGCUAGAUGCACCCAGUGAACAGUGCACUCACCUGCUGACACGUGGGUCCAGGGCCCACUGGCAGCCUCCUUCUUCUACCUCUGGCUAACUGCUUCUCCCGUGCUGCUGUUUCGCGUGCGCCUUGGCGCAGCACGCAUCUAGCUCCUAGGGCGAUGAGGACCCUAGUGCCUUAGUGCGCGUCGUGCACGGCGUCGGUGCAGCGAGCACUCACGUCGCGGGCCAGCACCUUGUCGGCACUGCUCGUAGAUUCGCCUCCUGGACGCCGGUGAUCGGGCGACGAGCGAUUUUCCUGGACUCCGCUCACCGUACACCGGGGUUGGGCUAUAAAAACGGAAGCGCAACUUGCUUCCAACAUACAAACACAAUGCCACUCUACUACCUCUUCGGUUAGAGCAAGAUCGAGCCGAGCUCCUUUGGCGAGGAGGUGUUCUUGGUGGCGCUAUGAUUGUUCCUCGCGGCACUGCUGGGCACGCUGAUCAACUCAUUGAUCCUCCUGGUUAUUAUCAUCAGGAACGAGCGGGCUCGAGACAACACACGGCUAAUGGCUCGAGGUGUGGAAGAAGAUGGUGCACGGGGUGGUCCUCCGCCACGCUUGGUUCUCCGUCGCUUCGUGCCGACGGAGUAAUCGCGUGCUGCGGUGGAGCGGUGGUGGCAACUUGCGGCGCCACGCAAGGCAGUGAUGGUGUGGAUGAUGGGUUCGGAUGCAGGUGAGGUUGGUAUGCUAGCUCAGGAGUCAAACUAGGGCACGGGAAAAAUUUCGUGGAUUGCUCCACGAAAUGUAGGUGUCGAGGUAGAAUCGGAGUUGAAAUCUGUAUCGGGGAAUUGUAAUGGAUCGUGAGAAAUAAAGCUGGCAGUGUUUCUCCGGAACACACAAUUGGGCUUACGAAAAAUAAUCAGGGACGAGAAAUGGCCAGAUGAAAAUGGCUUCUUGGAGGUUCGGGGUUUGGAAAAAAUCUGGCACGCGGGGUAUGCACAGAUAGAGAGGGAUAUGUGAAUUUGCAUUCCCCCGAGUACUGCUCAAAUGUACUCGUGGGUGAACCAGGUAUGCGUGCAGUAUGCAGAAAAAUCCAAACAAACAGACAAAAUUAUGCAACAGAAAACACCAGACAAAUCACACUAAGGUGUUUUAAUGCUAGUGGGUAUAUGUACCCCUGGUAUACAUAUACAUACACUAGCGCGUAUUUUAUUAGAGACUCGGAACGAGUCAAUGUUGUUUUUAGUGUAUGUGUCGUACUGACUAAAAUCUUGUUAACACGGUGCCAACCCUGUCAAACAUUUCUAUUUUAUAGAGAGAUAAGCAAAAACAAACACACAAACAAAAGCAAACAAGCAAAUAACACAGCAUACGGGUUACAACAGUACCAGCAUACAACAAGCACAGACGCGCUACGCGCUAAACGAAACUACUCGCUCCGGGAUACAUGGUUCUAUCCGCAUAUCGAAGACGAACCGACAGACCGACCUACUAGCAGGAACCACUGACUGCGUGACUGAAGUCAUGCAGAAGACUGGCCUUGCUGGGGCUCUCCUAGAGGAUGAAGACUGAGCCAAUCUCCAUCUUCAUCAUCUGACACUUCUAUGGGUUGGGGCAGUGGGGCUGGAAUUGCUCCAGGAAAAUGCUGCUGAUGGAUCCGGAGAAGAGACUUGUCGAGGGUGAUGAUGUUUGGCUUGUGCCACAGCACAGGUUGAGAGGAUAGCACUGGUUGAGAGGAUAGCACUGGUUCAGAUGGCGUUGGGCCAACAGCUUGAGAUGCAAACUUGAGCCUGACGGUAAGCUUCCUUGAUGACUUGUACCACAUUAUUGUACAUGGCUCUAAACUCGGCAAGCAACAUUGAAAUCAGCAUCCCCUGGGCACUAAUGUAUUGCACUAGGUGAGCGAUUGCAGGAUCAUCUCCUUGGCUAACGGUAGAAGGCUGCAUUACUGCGUUGGACACAGUGGGGAAAAAGUAGAACUCCCGCCUUGUUGCUACAUGCGGGAAGUUGGUUCGGAGGUGAAGGAUAGCCUCCAUAGUAGCGGCUUGAAUGGCUAAACCAGAGGUAGGCAUGGCUCUACCCUGUAAAACCAAAGGCUGGACAUCUGCUGCAGGACCUAGGCUGAUGUGCACUCUUGCAACAAAGUGAUGAAGGUGAGGGACGGGUGUCGAUUGGAACACCAGGUAAUCAGGGCUAGUCUUACCGCCAAAUGCUUUGGUGAGCAUCUCGGCAAGAAGGGGUGGAAAGCCAGGGUGGUUGACGGCAUAGGUGCUGGUGUAAUACGUGGGAGUUUUGGAGCUGCUAGCCAUAGCUGGGGUGCUACUAGUUAAGCUUCUCUGCGGGGACAUGGCGGACUGAGGAGCGAGCGAUACAGCUAGCGGAAAGGGCAUUUAUAGGCAGCUACGCGGGACAGGCCCGCGUGGCGUGGCCCCUUUCCCUUAAUGGCGAAGGGAAAAGCGGUGCGGUCGACCAGAAAGUAUAGGAUUGCUGCACGUUCCACGGAUAACUAGGCGGAGACAACGGGGUGAGGACGUGUCGGUCCCGACUGCGCCGCCUGUUGAUUAAUAGUGGCCAUGCCGGAUGCUAGGGAUGGGUAAAAUCCCUUAGGGUCAUUACGGGUUAAUGGUAGCGGUGAUCUAGUGCUAGGAUAAUCUAUGCCAGUUGGCUGCUAAGAUACCAAGCCCUGUGGCACCCCGAUCCGCAUGGAGCAGGGGGCCUUCGCACGUCAGCCCAGGAUAACACCUGACGCACGACAGGUCCGUGAUACAGCAUUCCAGGUACAAGAAUAUUCAUCAAAUACAUGUGUAUAUAAUUACAUCAGUGAUGAAUAUAAUCUUCUGGCAUAGCCCUAAGGCUAUUUACUUGGCAGCAGAAGUCUAAUUAAAUGGCGGCGGAAGUCUUGGCAGCAUAUAACUCUGGCUGGGCUCCACAACUCACAGGACUGGCAAGAUUACGGCCUAGCACGACGAAACAAGUGAACGACCUACAAAACUGGCAUGACACGCCAGGUCAGUACAUUGAAUGUACUUGCAAGACAACCAAAUACAUAGCAUCCAAACAAGCAGAAGACAACGCAGGAAC